UACCAGCACCCCGAGUGGUCGGGACGUUUAUUGGGCCUAAAGCAUCCGUAGCCGGUUCUACAAGUCUUCCGUUAAAUCCAACUGCUUAACAGGUGGGCUGCGGAAGAUACUAUAGAGCUAGGAGGCGGGAGAGGCAAGCGGUACUCGAUGGGUAGGGGUAAAAUCCGUUGAUCCAUUGAAGACCACCAGUGGCGAAGGCGGCUUGCCAGAACGCGCUCGACGGUGAGGGAUGAAAGCCAGGGGAGCAAACGGG
RNAcentral lists this ribosomal RNA (253 nucleotides) under uncultured bacterium. RNAcentral's name for it is "partial 16S ribosomal RNA". It matches the Rfam family "Archaeal small subunit ribosomal RNA", at positions 474 to 727 of the family's 1478-position model. The record is from RNAcentral.